UUGGAGGGCAAGUCUGGUGCCAGCAGCCGCGGUAAUUCCAGCUCCAAUAGCGUAUAUUAAAGUUGUUGCAGUUAAAAAGCUCGUAGUUGAAUUUCGGGAUUGACACAUCGGUCGUGCCUUAAGGGGUAUGAACUGGUGUAGUCAAUUUCUCACCUUCUGGAGAACCGCGAUGCCCUUAAUUGGGUGUCACGGGGAACCAGGACCUUUACUUUGAAAAAAUUAGAGUGUUUAAAGCAGGCAUUUUGCUUGAAUACAUUAGCAUGGAAUAAUAAAAUAGGACGGCAUGAUUCUAUUUUGUUGGUUUCUAGGAUCACCGUAAUGAUUAAUAGGGAUAGUUGGGGGCAUUAGUAUUCAAUUGUCAGAGGUGAAAUUCUUGGAUUUAUUGAAGACUAACUACUGCGAAAGCAUUUGCCAAGGAUGUUUUCAUUAAUCAUGAACGAAAGUUAGGGGAUCGAAGACGAUCAGAUACCGUCGUAGUCUUAACCAUAAACUAUGCCGACUAGGAAUCAGACGAUGUUAAUUUUUUAAUGACUCGUUUGGCACCUUACGGGAAACCAAAGUGUUUGGGUUC
Molecule: ribosomal RNA, 571 nt
Filed under: uncultured Glomeromycotina
Lineage: Eukaryota; Fungi; Glomeromycota
Description: SSU rRNA
Rfam family: Eukaryotic small subunit ribosomal RNA
Source: RNAcentral